AACGAACGCUGGCGGUGCGUCUUAAGCAUGCAAGUCGAACGGUAAGAAGAGAGCUUGCUCUUUUCCUAGAGUGGCGGACUGGUGAGUAACGCGUGGAUGAUCUACCUUUGAGAUGGGGAUAGCUUCUAGAAAUAGGAGGUAAUACCGAAUAACCUUAUUAUGUUAUGACGUAGUAAGAAAAGGAGCGUCAGCUCCGCUUAAAGAUGAGUCUGCGUCCCAUUAGCUAGUUGGUAAGGUAAAGGCCUACCAAGGCAACGAUGGGUACCCGGCCUGAGAGGGUGAACGGGCACAUUGGGACUGAGAUACGGCCCAAACUCCUACGGGAGGCAGCAGCUGAGAAUCUUCCGCAAUGGACGAAAGUCUGACGGAGCGACACCGCGUGAACGAUGAAGGCCGAAAGGUUGUAAAGUUCUUUUGCAGACAAAGAAUAAGGAUAGAAGGAAAUGACUAUCUGAUGACGGUAGUUAUGCGAAUAAGCCCCGGCUAAUUACGUGCCAGCAGCCGCGGUAAUACGUAAGGGGCGAGCGUUGUUCGGAAUUAUUGGGCGUAAAGGGCAUGUAGGCGGUUAGGUAAGCCUGAUGUGAAAUGUACGAGCUUAACUCGUAAACUGCAUUGGGUACUGCUUGACUUGAAUCAUGGAGGGGAAACUGGAAUUCCAAGUGUAGGGGUGGAAUCUGUAGAUAUUUGGAAGAACACCGGUGGCGAAGGCGGGUUUCUAGCCAAUGAUUGACGCUAAGGUGCGAAGGUGCGGGGAGCAAACAGGAUUAGAUACCCUGGUAGUCCGCACAGUAAACGAUGUACACUAGGUGUUGGGGUAAGACUCAGUGCCGGAGCAAACGCAAUAAGUGUACCGCCUGGGGAGUAUGCUCGCAAGAGUGAAACUCAAAGGAAUUGACGGGGGCCCACACAAGCGGUGGAGCAUGUGGUUUAAUGCGAUGAUACGCGAGGAACCUUACCUGGGUUUGACAUCAAGAGGAAUACUGUAGAGAUAUGG
This 994-nucleotide ribosomal RNA is filed under the name Treponema sp. oral taxon 517. RNAcentral's name for it is "bacterial SSU rRNA". It matches the Rfam family "Bacterial small subunit ribosomal RNA", at positions 28 to 1011 of the family's 1533-position model. The record is from RNAcentral. Lineage: Bacteria; Pseudomonadati; Spirochaetota; Spirochaetia; Treponematales; Treponemataceae.